This 356-nucleotide long non-coding RNA is filed under the name Mus musculus (house mouse). Its description in RNAcentral is "predicted gene, 35732". Lineage: Eukaryota; Metazoa; Chordata; Mammalia; Rodentia; Muridae. The record is from RNAcentral.
AGACUGGCCUUCUCAACACCUCCUGAAAAGCCCCCUUGGGUCUCAUUUUGCUGGGAUGACUAUUUAUAUGACAGGUUUUCUAUUUAGAACCCAACAUGUUCUUUGCUGGGAAAACGUCAGAUGCAAGUGUCUAAGCCCUAGAAGUUUUCUCUGAGGCCUGGAGACCUAAGCCUUUUAACCAAUCCUGUCGACACUGAAUGCUGAUUAAGGACAAUCAGCCUGCUUAUGGAGUUGCAAUUGUCCUCAUGGCUUCCAGAUGACGUCCUUCAGACGAGAGUUCUCUCUUGGGGAGUUAAAAAAGCCUUGGAUUCAGCUGAGCCUCUUUUUCUAGCUCUUCUUCUAAACUGACCACAGAU